Molecule: ribosomal RNA, 596 nt
Filed under: uncultured bacterium
Lineage: Bacteria
Description: bacterial SSU rRNA
Rfam family: Bacterial small subunit ribosomal RNA
Source: RNAcentral
GGAAUAUUGGGCAAUGGGAGAAAUCCUGACCCAGCGACGCCGCGUGAACGAAGACGGCCUUCGGGUUGUAAAGUUCUUUUAUGUGGGAAGAAGGAAGUGACGGUACCACAUGAAUAAGCCCCGGCUAACUACGUGCCAGCAGCCGCGGUAAUACUGUAGGGGGCGAGCGUUGUCCGGAAUUACUGGGCGUAAAGGGCACGCAGGCUGUGCUUCAAGUCAGCUGUAAAAGGAUGCGGCUUAACCGUGUUAUGCAGUUGAGACUGAGGUGCUGGAGUACCGGAGAGGCAAGUGGAAUUCCCAGUGUAGCGGUGAAAUGCGUAGAUAUUGGGAAGAACAUCGGUGGCGAAGGCGACUUGCUGGACGGUAACUGACGCUGAGGUGCGAAAGCCAGGGUAGCGAACGGGAUUAGAUACCCCGGUAGUCCUGGCCGUAAACGAUGAAUGCUAGGUGUGCGAGCAGAGAUGUUGGCGUGCCGCAGUUAACGCGAUAAGCAUUCCGCCUGGGGAGUACGGUCGCAAGAUUGAAACUCAAAGGAAUUGACGGGGGCCCGCACAAGCGGUGGAGCACGUGGUUUAAUUCGAUGCAAACCGAAGAAC